GUAGGUGGCAAGCGUUGUCCGGAAUUAUUGGGCGUAAAGCGCGCGCAGGCGGUUCUUUAAGUCUGAUGUGAAAGCCCACGGCUCAACCGUGGAGGGUCAUUGGAAACUGGAGAACUUGAGUACAGAAGAGGAAAGCGGAAUUCCACGUGUAGCGGUGAAAUGCGUAGAGAUGUGGAGGAACACCAGUGGCGAAGGCGGCUUUCUGGUCUGUAACUGACGCUGAGGCGCGAAAGCGUGGGGAGCAAAUAGGAUUAGAUACCCUGGUAGUCCACGCCGUAAACGAUGAGUGCUAAGUGUUAGGGGGUUUCCGCCCCCCUUAGUGCUGCAGCUAACGCAUUAAGCACUCCGCCUGGGAGUACGGCCGCAAGGCUG
This 372-nucleotide ribosomal RNA is filed under the name uncultured organism. RNAcentral describes it as "partial 16S ribosomal RNA". It matches the Rfam family "Bacterial small subunit ribosomal RNA", at positions 527 to 896 of the family's 1533-position model. The record is from RNAcentral.